ACAUAAAGCAGGAAAGUCUAAAGACUAAUCAGUGAUUGCACUGAGAUGACUCUGUAAUAUGCAGUUGGUUAGAGGAUUAUUGUUCCUCCUUAGUAUAGUUUGUGAGGUAGUUUGGUUUUGAGACAACGUUUCAUUGUGUCCUACCCUGUCUGUGAACUCUCAAUGAAUCUCUUGCCUCAGUUGCCCUGUGAAGGGAUUACAGGUGUGGGACACUGUGUGCUUGUCACCAGUUUGUGAUUUUAAUUUACUUUUUUGUGGGUCCCACCUUCCCUGGUGACCCUGAUCUCUCCUCAGUGUCCCUGUCCUGACGCUCUCUGCAUAAGGCAUUAAAAUUUCUAUGGAAUGUCUUAUAAAUAGAACCAAAC
This 365-nucleotide long non-coding RNA is filed under the name Cricetulus griseus (Chinese hamster). RNAcentral's name for it is "lncRNA (ENSCGRG00015035624.1)". The record is from RNAcentral. Lineage: Eukaryota; Metazoa; Chordata; Mammalia; Rodentia; Cricetidae.